This 376-nucleotide unclassified non-coding RNA is filed under the name uncultured Alphaproteobacteria bacterium. Its description in RNAcentral is "contains 16S-23S intergenic spacer region". The record is from RNAcentral. Lineage: Bacteria; Pseudomonadati; Pseudomonadota; Alphaproteobacteria.
UCCGGCUUAUCACCGGCAGUUCUCCUAGAGUUCCCGACAUUACUCGCUGGCAACUAAGAGUGAGGGUUGCGCUCGUUGCAGGACUUAACCCAACAUCUCACGACACGAGCUGACGACGGCCAUGCAACACCUGUGUGUGGUCCAGCCGAACUGAAAGGAUCAUCUCUGAUCCCGUUAACCACCAUGUCAAAGGUUGGUAAGGUUUUUCGUGUGACAUCGAAUUAAACCGCAUGCUCCACUGCUUGUGCGGGUCCCCGUCAAUUCCUUUGAGUUUUAAUCUUGCGAUCUUACUCCCCAGGCGGAGUGCUUAAUGCGUUAGCUGCGGCACCGAAAUAAAUCCCGAUACCUAGCACACAUCGUUUACAGCGUGGACUAC